Molecule: ribosomal RNA, 301 nt
Filed under: uncultured bacterium
Lineage: Bacteria
Description: partial 16S ribosomal RNA
Rfam family: Bacterial small subunit ribosomal RNA
Source: RNAcentral
CAGCAGCCACGGGAAUACGUAGGGUGCAAGCGUUAAUCGGAAUUACUGGGCGUAAAGCGUGCGCAGGCGGUUCGUUAAGACAGAUGUGAAAUCCCCGGGCUUAACCUGGGAACUGCAUUUGUGACUGGCGGGCUAGAGUAUGGCAGAGGGGGGUAGAAUUCCACGUGUAGCUGUGAAAUGCGUAGAGAUGUGGAGGAAUACCGAUGGCGAAGGCAGCCCCCUGGGCCAAUACUGACGCUCGUGCACGAAAGCGUGGGGAGCAAACAGGAUUAGAUACCCCGGUAGUCCCUGUCUCUUAUAC